GUGACAACCAACAUGGGAGAAGAGAACCAAGAACCAGGUCUGGCAGCAAGAAGCAUGAGCAAUAUCAAAACAGUUGAGAGGAGACAUUAGCUCAAGGGACAAGGUGUCAAACACCAUGGCUCAUCCACCCAGCCCUUCCUCAACUCCCGGAUUGGAUGCCCCCAGUGCUGCCACAGCUCUGCUCCCCACAUCUGAAUGCUCUGAACUGGACAACUCCAUGCACUCUAGAUGAAAAUCUCCACCUCGUUCCAGUGAUGAAACCUUUACCUCGGAUGAGCCUCAUCUGUUGGAAUUGUGUUGUUUUUUCAUCAGUAAUAAAUACCUUGAGGGAAGAAAUACA
Molecule: long non-coding RNA, 340 nt
Organism: Suricata suricatta (meerkat)
Lineage: Eukaryota; Metazoa; Chordata; Mammalia; Carnivora; Herpestidae
Exons: 2
Source: RefSeq, a predicted model, not a curated record